CCUACGGGUGGCAGCAGUGAGGAAUAUUGGUCAAUGGACGGAAGUCUGAACCAGCCAAGUCGCGUGAGGGACGACUGCCCUAUGAGUUGUAAACCGCUUUUAUACGAGGAGAAUAAAUGCUACGUGUAGCAUGAUGCCUGUACCUUAUGAAUAAGCAUCGGCUAACUCCGUGCCAGCAGCCGCGGUAAUACGGAGGAUGCGAGCGUUAUCCGGAUUUAUUGGGUUUAAAGGGUGCGCGGGCGGCGUGUAAAGUUAGAGGUAAAAGGGCGGGGCUCAACCCCGGCCUGGCGCUGAAACUGGCGUGCUAGAGUUGAAUAGCGGUAGGCGGAAUUCGUGGUGUAGCGGUGAAAUGCAUAGAUAUCACGCAGAACCCCGAUUGCGAAGGCAGCAUACCGGCUCCACACUGACGCUGAGGCACGAAAGCGUGGGUAUCGAACAGGAUUAGAUACCCGAGUAGUC
This 459-nucleotide ribosomal RNA is filed under the name uncultured bacterium. Its description in RNAcentral is "partial 16S ribosomal RNA". It matches the Rfam family "Bacterial small subunit ribosomal RNA", at positions 338 to 795 of the family's 1533-position model. The record is from RNAcentral.